AUGACCUCUAUACUUCAGAGGCAAAUACAGAGGACGCAGGAACAUAUGAAUGUGAAUUAAAAGAUCAAGACAAUUCACUUGGUAGGGAUACAAUUUCCCUGCAAGUGGCAGAUUCAUUUUCUUCUAAUGCCCCACCAUCCACCACCAAACCAAGCACCACUUCAAAGACGUCAACGCCAACUCCUAAAACUGACCGCAACAUAUCAGCAGCCUCAAGUAUCAAGAGCAAUGGUCUUUGGUGCGCGCUUAUGACAUGGACUUGUUUUCUGAUGUCACUCCGGAAAUACAUGUAAUAUUAGUUUAUAGUUUUUUGCAAUUUUAUAGUGACAGUUCCUGGGUACACAGCUUGGACAUAAAAUGUUUUUUGUUAUUCUUGUUUUAAAAAAAUAAUCAAGUUUGACAAUCAUGAUUUCAACAACAUGUCAGCAUUUUUUUCUGACAGUUUUCUAGGGCUUUGUCCAUUGCGCCAUUUUAGAUAUUUAGUAAUUUCAGCAAUCUGAUGAUCAGCCCGACAUUUAGUCAUGCUCAAUCUGUUUUGUAUUUACAUAAAAAUAUAUUAUUAUGCAGUUUAAUUACUGGACAAACCAGACAGUUAUAUUCUAUCAGGUUUUUGCGAUUUCCAACGUGUAACACUGAGUUAACCAUUGAAAUGUUCAUAAUUUUUAAGGGAAAUAGUUACGACCAAAUGGCAUCACUAAACGAUUGAUGCUGUCCACGUAUGCUGACUCCUUCUCUCCAAAACCAAAUAAAAGUGAGGCAAGAACUUGUUGUUCACCCAGGCCGUAGCCAACAAUUUCAAGAGGGGGUUCUUUUUCUGAAAAAGUGGACCUUUUCCCAUAAAAACUUCAUGUA
Lingula anatina is the source of this 852-nucleotide long non-coding RNA. NCBI's taxonomy places the organism in Eukaryota, Metazoa, Brachiopoda, Lingulata, Lingulida, Lingulidae. The record is from RefSeq and is a predicted model, not a curated record.